This is a non-coding RNA of Podarcis lilfordi (Lilford's wall lizard), 2251 nucleotides long. The record is from the annotation of a GenBank genome assembly. Lineage: Eukaryota; Metazoa; Chordata; Lepidosauria; Squamata; Lacertidae.
CGGGGUGAGAAUUUUAGGUAGCCAUUGAAUACCUUGCCAUACAGAAUGAAAUGGAUUGUAUGGAACAAUUGGAAGAGUGUGAAUAUGUUAGGAAACUAGAUGGCAGGGUUAUUUUACCUAUACAGAGUUGCUGAGAGCUGGAUGCAGCAAAAGCAAAUAAUUGAACUUUGUGUUGGAGAAAUGGAGCCAGUAAAAAUACCAGACACUGAUUCCCGUUGGUGAACAGACCACGUUAAAUUUUUAGAGGCCCCCAAUAUUUAUGCAGAAUGGGAUCCCUGUAGAACCACUUUGUCAAAAUCACAUGAAGUUGGCUUUUGAUCAAUCUCACUGUUGUGUAACAAAUACUUCAUGAUCAAAAGUAUCAAUCACAUAAAUGUUCUAAAGCGAAUACAGAUUCUGUUAACCUCUUCUGAAAAGUUAACCAGACUACAACCUGCAGUCUUUGUGUCAUUAGUCCUCAUUACAAAUCGGGGAUAAGUCUCCAUGAGUUUAGCAGGCUUCUCACUUAAGGCAUAUAACUGUCCGUGAUUGGGUAGGUGACUGAAACAGUGACUGUAGAUAAGUAUUUAUUUGUGUUUUUGGUGGUGAAAUCAAACUGUUGGAGAGUUACAGGCCCCCUCUUUUCUUCCCAGCCCUAUACUGCAUAUAACACCAGUGUUUCACAACAGUAACUGAAGAACCUGAAGAAAGAGACAAUGCAUGUGUUUUUGAAAAUGAGGGGAAAUUAUUUUACUUUAUUUUUAAAAAGGAGUGUGCAACGCCCCCAGUAUUUAAAGAGUCCCCACCCCUAUUACAUCAUUAGAACCAAAACAUAAACCUAUGAAACUAGAAAAGAGCAAAAAAUAUCAAUGUUUGGUCCAGAAUCUAGGUACUACACCCUCAUUAAAGGAGACUGUAUGAAUGAUUCACUAAAUGAUGACGUAUGUAACUAAGCUCAUGGCCUCAAAUUCUCUUUAUCUUAUCUGUUGCUUUAUUACAAAAAUGAUGACUAGACUACUGAUCCUAAACUGAAUAGUUAGUUGCCCAACCACUCCCUCCAGAACCCACUGCUCUCAACUGCCUCGCAUUCAAACUCCCUUUCAAAUCCUCAUCCAAUCAUCACUCACCACCAGAAUCCCACCAUACUCACUCUGUCCCCCUCCCUCCACAUUCCCAUAAUAAUUCUGCUACAAUUACCUUAAUAACCCUAUACAUUCAAUAUUUUAUACACGCUGCUCCCUAUAACCAUACAGUGAUACCUCGAUCUACGAACAGCCCUGUUAAUGAACGAUUCGGACAAAGAACUCCGCAAAACCAGAAGUAGGUGUUCCAGUUAGCGAACUUUGCCCUGGAAGCCAAACGGAAGUCGAAUGGUGGAAGGGCACCGGCAGAGGGAGGCCUCAGUAGGGAAAGUGCACCUCGGUUUAAGAACAGACUGCUGGAAUGGGUUAAGUUUGUAAACCGAGGUACCACUGUACUGUUAGAAGCACUUGAGCUUCUCAUUCCUGGUUCCUAGGAAAUGGGGGUGAGCAAACUGCAGGUUCUCCAUCCUUGUUCUAAAAACCAGGUGUCUUCCUCCAAACAAUCCUGGGAAUUAUAGCUUGUUAAGGGUUCUGGGGCUUGUAGGUCUGUGAGAGGGAAGCCACAAUGGCACGAAUCAUUUCGGGGGAAGUCAUGUGCUUUAAAGGCGCAUUGGAUGCUCUUUAAAACAUUGCAUCAUAGAACUGUAGAGUUGGAAGGGACCCUGAGGGUCAUCUAGUCCAACUCCCUGCAUAUGCAGAAAUCUCAACUAGAUGAUCCAUGGCCAUCCAAGCGCUGCUUAAAAACCUCCAAGGAAGGAGAGUCACUGCUUCAGGUCCUAAGGGCCUCUGGAGCAAGAGAAAACAAGCUUGCUCCAUCCAUGUGACAGCCCUUUAGUUAUUGAAAGGGCUGCAUGGUGUGGAUCUCAUAUCAGUGUUAUGAGAGUGUAAGCAACACAUUUCUCUCCCCGUUCUCCACACCAUGCAGAAUUGCAAUGGUAACCAGAAGGCUGGAGUUUGGAGCCCAACCAGGGCUGGCUGUGGGCAGGAUCCUUGCAUUGCUGGGAGUUGGACUAGAUGACCCUUGGGACCCCUUCCAACUCUGCCAUGCUAUGAUUAUAUCAAGCAGCUAAAGGAAUGAAAAGAUGCUUCUGAAACAUUUGGGAAUCAUAGGAACACACUUCCCACCAGUGGCUUCCUGCAAGAGUUUGCAUCUUCCUUAGGAGAGAGGCAGGCCGGAACAAGGGGGGAAG